AUUAUUCUUAUAAGCAUAAUAAGGGUAUAAAUCACAUAGCAGAAAAGGGCUAUGUUGUUCCAGAAACUCAACAAUAGGCUGAAUGGUGAGAAGAAAUUUAGGAUCAAAGGUACCUGCAGAUGGAGGGUAACUUUGUGAAAGCCAAUUUAGUUGAAAUGGGGUGGUCAAAUAGAUAGCACUCAAGUCAGGAUCAGCAUUAUAUAAUGCAUCUUUAAGGACUUGCAUUGCAGGAAGUAAGGCUUCCGCUAAUUUAUCGCCAGGGCUUAUACCAUGUCCAACAGCUAUCAUUGUAAAUCCUAGUAUCGUUUUAUAUGGCUUGACAUAGGUAUUGACCCAAUUUUGAGCAAAACCUUUUGCAAAGGCUACUUGUACAAUGUCUUCAUUUGCAACCCCCAGGAUCACUUCCAUCCCUGAAUGUUUUAAUGCCUCUAGAGCAUCUAUAUGUGGCUUAUAAAGGCGAAUCUUUUGGAAGCCUUUUUGUUGGCAAAGUUCUAUAGUUUCUUUUGCACUUGGCAGGUUGUUUGCAAGCCUUGAAU
Molecule: unclassified non-coding RNA, 536 nt
Filed under: Hevea brasiliensis (rubber tree)
Lineage: Eukaryota; Viridiplantae; Streptophyta; Magnoliopsida; Malpighiales; Euphorbiaceae
Source: RNAcentral